RNAcentral lists this ribosomal RNA (511 nucleotides) under uncultured bacterium. RNAcentral's name for it is "partial 16S ribosomal RNA". The record is from RNAcentral.
GGAGUUAGCCGGUGCUUCUUCUGCGAGUAACGUCACAGAUGUAAGGUAUUAACUUACACCCUUUCCUCCUCGCUGAAAGUGCUUUACAACCCGAAGGCCUUCUUCACACACGCGGCAUGGCUGCAUCAGGGUUUCCCCCAUUGUGCAAUAUUCCCCACUGCUGCCUCCCGUAGGAGUCUGGGCCGUGUCUCAGUCCUAGUGUGGCUGAUCAUCCUCUCAGACCAGCUAGGGAUCGUCGCCUAGGUGAGCCUUUACCUCACCUACUAGCUAAUCCCACCUGGGCUUAUCCAUCAGCGCAAGGCCCGAAGGUCCCCUGCUUUCCCCCGUAGGGCGUAUGCGGUAUUAGCAGUCGUUUCCAACUGUUAUCCCCCACAAAUGGGCAAAUUCCCAGGCAUUACUCACCCGUCCGCCGCUCGUCAUCUUCAAAAGCAAGCUUUUGAAAUGUUACCGCUCGACUUGCAUGUGUUAGGCCUGCCGCCAGCGUUCAAUCUGAGCCAUAAUCAAACUCUGA